Biomphalaria pfeifferi is the source of this 217-nucleotide non-coding RNA. The record is from the annotation of a GenBank genome assembly. NCBI's taxonomy places the organism in Eukaryota, Metazoa, Mollusca, Gastropoda, Planorbidae.
AUACAACACUCUUUUUUUUUUUUGUGGUCGUUUUUUGAAUUUUUUGGUAAUACAUUUAAACGGCUCGCAUGUAAAAGUUCAUGAAAUUGCUUUAAAAAAUUUAGUAGCCAAAAAAGAAAGCCAACAGCUAUAAUACAAACCUAAUCACAUUCUCAUACACACGCAUGAGAGCCUAAUGAUUUGUAUUUAUUAUGUAUAAUUAAUUUUAAAAAAAAAC